This 254-nucleotide ribosomal RNA is filed under the name uncultured bacterium. Its description in RNAcentral is "partial 16S ribosomal RNA". It matches the Rfam family "Bacterial small subunit ribosomal RNA", at positions 524 to 776 of the family's 1533-position model. The record is from RNAcentral.
UACGAAGGGGGCUAGCGUUGUUCGGAAUUACUGGGCGUAAAGGGCGCGCAGGCGGCUGCUCAAGUCAGGCGUGAAAGGCCUGGGCUCAACCCGGGAAUUGCGCUUGAGACUGGGCUGGCUUGAGUGCGGGAGAGGAUGGUGGAAUUCCCAGUGUAGAGGUGAAAUGCGUAGAUAUCUGGAGGAACACCGGUGGCGAAGGCGGCAUCCUGGACCGACACUGACGCUGAGGAGCGAAAGCCAGGGGAGCAAACGGG